This 554-nucleotide long non-coding RNA is filed under the name Gossypium raimondii (Peruvian cotton). Its description in RNAcentral is "long non-coding RNA (GRAI_LNC006708)". Lineage: Eukaryota; Viridiplantae; Streptophyta; Magnoliopsida; Malvales; Malvaceae. The record is from RNAcentral.
UAAGUAUAUAAAUGCAUUGGUUGAAAUACUGAAAUUAGGUUGGUUAUGUUUGAAAUUUUGCAGGGGGUUUAAUGUAAAAAUAAGUCGAAAUGCUGCCGAAAAUUUUAUAAAUAAAAAAUAAAAAAAAUGAAUGAAAUCAAUUAGUACAAAUUUAUAACAAUUUAUGAAUUAUUUUAAUAUGUUGGUUAUUUAUUUUGAUUUAUUUAUAAAUUGUUUGAUAUGUCCGGUAAUGCCUCGUAACCCAGUUCUGGCGACGGUUUGGGGUUAGGGGGUGUUACAACUUCUAUGUCUUUUUCAUGUUGUUUGCAGGUUUGUGGUGUCAGGCGAAGCAUGUAGCGGAGGGCAGGUGAUGGGACGUGACGUGCGGCGCACAUGGCCCUGGCAUGUGGCGCUGGAGGUGUUAAGGGGAGCUAGGGUUUUCUGAAAUUUUAGGGUGUUGGGCCAUAAUGUUUGGGCCAUUAGUUUUUUUUAGAAUUGGGCUCGUGGGUUUGUUUAUUUUGUAAAUGGAUUGGAUAUCGGGCCCGGGCAAAUUGGGCUGAUUACAACAAGUAUUG